CAGUCGCCACGGUAAUACAGAGGGUGCGAGCGUUAAUCGGAUUUACUGGGCGUAAAGCGUGCGUAGGCGGCUUUUUAAGUCGGAUGUGAAAUCCCUGAGCUUAACUUAGGAAUUGCAUUCGAUACUGGGAAGCUAGAGUAUGGGAGAGGAUGGUAGAAUUCCAGGUGUAGCGGUGAAAUGCGUAGAGAUCUGGAGGAAUACCGAUGGCGAAGGCAGCCAUCUGGCCUAAUACUGACGCUGAGGUACGAAAGCAUGGGGAGCAAACAGGAUUAGAUACCCGUGUAGUCCCUGUCUCUUAUAC
RNAcentral lists this ribosomal RNA (301 nucleotides) under uncultured bacterium. RNAcentral's name for it is "partial 16S ribosomal RNA". It matches the Rfam family "Bacterial small subunit ribosomal RNA", at positions 509 to 807 of the family's 1533-position model. The record is from RNAcentral.